This 278-nucleotide long non-coding RNA is filed under the name Medicago truncatula (barrel medic). Its description in RNAcentral is "long non-coding RNA (MTRU_LNC002365)". The record is from RNAcentral. Lineage: Eukaryota; Viridiplantae; Streptophyta; Magnoliopsida; Fabales; Fabaceae.
AAACUCCAAAGAACAUCGUUGUUCCACAGCCGCGACGCAAAGAGAGGAAGAAGAGAAAUGGAAGCCAUGGGCGUGUUUUGCGGAACCAAUAGUAUCUAUGUCACAUCCUCUCAAUUACGCACCUCAAACACAAACACAAGAAGCUCUCAAUUACGCACCACCCAACACCUUUCUGCAUUUCCUUCUAAAUCCCAUCUUUUUUCAUCUUCUACUUCUUCUUCCUAUGCCAAAACCAUCCGCACUAAAAGCUCCACCAAUACCGGCAUUUUCCUUCCCCA